Molecule: ribosomal RNA, 485 nt
Filed under: uncultured bacterium
Lineage: Bacteria
Description: partial 16S ribosomal RNA
Rfam family: Bacterial small subunit ribosomal RNA
Source: RNAcentral
AUUGAACGCUGGCGGCAGGCUUAACACAUGCAAGUCGAGCGGGGAAGAGUAGCUUGCUACUUGACCUAGCGGCGGACGGGUGAGUAAUGCUUAGGAAUCUGCCUAUUAGUGGGGGACAACAUCUCGAAAGGGAUGCUAAUACCGCAUACGUCCUACGGGAGAAAGCAGGGGACCUUCGGGCCUUGCGCUAAUAGAUGAGCCUAAGUCGGAUUAGCUAGUUGGUGGGGUAAAGGCCUACCAAGGCGACGAUCUGUAGCGGGUCUGAGAGGAUGAUCCGCCACACUGGGACUGAGACACGGCCCAGACUCCUACGGGAGGCAGCAGUGGGGAAUAUUGGACAAUGGGGGGAACCCUGAUCCAGCCAUGCCGCGUGUGUGAAGAAGGCCUUUUGGUUGUAAAGCACUUUAUGCGAGGAGGAGGCUACCGAGAUUAAUACUCUUGGAUAGUGGACGUUACUCGCAGAAUAAGCACCGGCUAACUCUGUG